This 479-nucleotide ribosomal RNA is filed under the name uncultured bacterium. RNAcentral's name for it is "partial 16S ribosomal RNA". It matches the Rfam family "Bacterial small subunit ribosomal RNA", at positions 28 to 507 of the family's 1533-position model. The record is from RNAcentral.
GAUGAACGCUAGCGGGAGGCCUAACACAUGCAAGCCGAGCGGUAUUGUUUCUUCGGAAAUGAGAGAGCGGCGUACGGGUGCGUAACACGUGUGCAACCUGCCUUUAUCUGGGGGAUAGCCUUUCGAAAGGAAGAUUAAUACUCCAUAAUAUAUUGAACGGCAUCGUUUAAUAUUGAAAGCUCCGGCGGAUAGAGAUGGGCACGCGCAAGAUUAGCUAGUUGGUGAGGUAACGGCUCACCAAGGCGAUGAUCCUUAGGGGGCCUGAGAGGGUGAUCCCCCACACUGGUACUGAGACACGGACCAGACUCCUACGGGAGGCAGCAGUGAGGAAUAUUGAUCAAUGGGUGCAAGCCUGAACCAGCCAUCCCGCGUGAAGGACGACUGCCCUAUGGGUUGUAAACUUCUUUUGUAUAGGGAUAAACCUACCCUCGUGAGGGUAGCUGAAGGUACUAUACGAAUAAGCACCGGCUAACUCCGUG